This 368-nucleotide RNase P RNA is filed under the name Moryella indoligenes. Its description in RNAcentral is "RNase P class A". It matches the Rfam family "Bacterial RNase P class A". Rfam says of the family: Ribonuclease P (RNase P) is a ubiquitous endoribonuclease, found in archaea, bacteria and eukarya as well as chloroplasts and mitochondria. Its best characterised activity is the generation of mature 5'-ends of tRNAs by cleaving the 5'-leader elements of precursor-tRNAs. Cellular RNase Ps are ribonucleoproteins. Lineage: Bacteria; Bacillati; Bacillota; Clostridia; Lachnospirales; Lachnospiraceae. The record is from RNAcentral.
GGAGACGGACAGACGGUCGCGGCUGCAGAGACGAAAGGCUGCAGGUGAGGAAAGUCCGGGCUUCACAGGGCAGGAUGCCGGAUAACAUCCGGUGGAGGUGACUCCCAGGAUAGUGCAACAGAGAUAUACCGCCGGCCUUGGCCGGUAAGGGUGCAAAGGCGGUGUAAGAGACCACCGACCGCACGGUGACGUGCGGGGCUAUGUAAACCCCAUCCGAAGCAAGACCGAACAGGACAGAUCGGUUGCCCGCCGAUUUUCAGAGCAAUCUGAAAAUACUGUCUGGGUAGGUCGCUUGAGCCUGUCGGUAACGACAGGACUAGAUAGAUGACCGUUUGAUACAUAACCCGGCUUACAGUUCGUCUCUAUAA